This 718-nucleotide ribosomal RNA is filed under the name Lactiplantibacillus plantarum. Its description in RNAcentral is "bacterial SSU rRNA". It matches the Rfam family "Bacterial small subunit ribosomal RNA", at positions 654 to 1371 of the family's 1533-position model. Lineage: Bacteria; Bacillati; Bacillota; Bacilli; Lactobacillales; Lactobacillaceae. The record is from RNAcentral.
GAGCACAGCGGAACUCCGUGUGUCCCGCAGAAAUGAGCAGAUAUAUGGUAGAGCACCAGUGACGAAGGGUGUCUGUUUGGUUUGUCUCUGACGCUGAGGCUCGAUCAUAUUCAUAGCCAGCACAAUCAGAUACCCUCGUAGUCCAUGCUGUAACCGAUGUAUGCUCAGUUUUGGAGGGUUUACGGCGUUCAGUGCUGCAGCUAAGCCAUCAAGCUUUCCACUUGGGGAGUCCGUUCUCAAGUCUGAAACUCGAAUGAAUCAUCAGGGUCCCGCACAAGCGGUGGAGCAUGUGGUUUAAUAUGAAGCUGCGCGAAGCUCCUUACCAGGUCUUGACAUACUAUGCAAAUCUGAAAGAUUAGGCGUUCCCUUGGGGGACAUGGAUCCAGGUGGUGCAUGGUUGUCGUCAACAUGUGUCGUGAGAUGUUGGGUUAAGUCCAGCCGCGACCGCUCUCCUCAUUAUCAGUGUCCAUCCAUAAGUUGGUCGUUCUGGGGAGACGAUUGGUGACAACCCGCAGGAAGGGGGGGAUGGCGUCAAUUCCACAUCCCCCGUAUCCCAUGGCCCUCUCAGGUGGUACAAGGGACGGUACCACGAGGAGCGGUCUCCCCAGAGUAAACUAAUCUCUUAAAGGCAUUCUCAGUUCGGAUUGUAGGAAGCCACUUUCAUACAUGAAGUCGGAAUCUCUAGUGAUGUCGGAUCAGCAAGCCUCGGUGAACACGU